CACGUAGGGCGCGAGCGUUGUCCGGAAUUAUUGGGCGUAAAGAGCUCGUAGGCGGCCUGUUGCGUCCGCUGUGAAAGCCCGGGGCUUAACCCCGGGUCGGCAGUGGAUACGGGCAGGCUAGAGGUAGGUAGGGGAGAAUGGAAUUCCCGGUGUAGCGGUGAAAUGCGCAGAUAUCGAGAGGAACACCAGAGGUGAAGACGGGUUGCUGGGCCGACACUGACGCUGACAGCGCGAAAGCCAGGGGAGCAAACGGG
RNAcentral lists this ribosomal RNA (254 nucleotides) under uncultured bacterium. RNAcentral's name for it is "partial 16S ribosomal RNA". It matches the Rfam family "Bacterial small subunit ribosomal RNA", at positions 524 to 776 of the family's 1533-position model. The record is from RNAcentral.